CAGUCGCCGCGGGAAUACGUAGGGUGCGAGCGUUAAUCGGAAUUACUGGGCGUAAAGCGUGCGCAGGCGGUUAUAUAAGACAGAUGUGAAAUCCCCGGGCUCAACCUGGGACCUGCAUUUGUGACUGUAUAGCUAGAGUACGGUAGAGGGGGAUGGAAUUCCGCGUGUAGCAGUGAAAUGCGUAGAUAUGCGGAGGAACACCGAUGGCGAAGGCAAUCCCCUGGACCUGUACUGACGCUCAUGCACGAAAGCGUGGGGAGCAAACAGGGUUAGAUACCCGCGUAGUCCCUGUCUCUUAUAC
RNAcentral lists this ribosomal RNA (301 nucleotides) under uncultured bacterium. RNAcentral describes it as "partial 16S ribosomal RNA". It matches the Rfam family "Bacterial small subunit ribosomal RNA", at positions 509 to 807 of the family's 1533-position model. The record is from RNAcentral.